UUUGCAACAGAACGACAAUUGAUCAUCCUUCAUUGUCGUUAUUUUGUCAUUGUCGUUGCACGUUGCUAUUCCUAACAAAAAAUGACAAGCGAAAAGCUUUUGUCAACUUGUCAUGCAUGGUGAAAAGUUCAUUGUUGUAGAAACAGCUGGUCAACGCUAUUAUUUGCAAAAAAUAUGAGCGGUGAAACACCAGAAAAACGUGCAAAAUAUGAGCGGACGACGCAGGAGCAGCUGCAAUUUUAUGUGCAGUUUUGUAGGGAGCAUCCGGAGCUGC
This is a long non-coding RNA of Rhagoletis zephyria (snowberry fruit fly), 274 nucleotides long. RefSeq lists it as uncharacterized. The record is from RefSeq and is a predicted model, not a curated record. Lineage: Eukaryota; Metazoa; Arthropoda; Insecta; Diptera; Tephritidae.